RNAcentral lists this ribosomal RNA (215 nucleotides) under Campeiostachys nutans. RNAcentral describes it as "Elymus nutans partial small subunit ribosomal RNA". The stretch from base 46 to 215 matches the Rfam family "Eukaryotic small subunit ribosomal RNA", at positions 693 to 864 of the family's 1831-position model. The record is from RNAcentral. Lineage: Eukaryota; Viridiplantae; Streptophyta; Magnoliopsida; Poales; Poaceae.
GGACUAUCAUGUCGGUCGUGCCUCGGUACGUACUGGUAUUAUUGGUUUCUCCCUUCUGACGAACCAUGAUGUCAUUAAUUUGGUGUUAUAGGGAAUCUGGACUGUUACUUUGAAAAAAUUAGAGUGUUUAAAGCAGGCAUUAGCUUGAAUACAUUAGCAUGGAAUAAUGAAAUAGGACGUUUGAUCCUAUUUUGUUGGUUUCUAGGAUUGACGUA